AAGCCUGCAGCUAUGUAGCCUUGGUUUUGCAAAAACCAGUGAAGACUUUAGUCUCAGGUUUU
Molecule: transfer RNA, 62 nt
Filed under: Cephalochlamys namaquensis
Lineage: Eukaryota; Metazoa; Platyhelminthes; Cestoda; Pseudophyllidea; Cephalochlamydidae
Description: tRNA-Cys
Source: RNAcentral